Molecule: ribosomal RNA, 253 nt
Filed under: uncultured bacterium
Lineage: Bacteria
Description: partial 16S ribosomal RNA
Rfam family: Bacterial small subunit ribosomal RNA
Source: RNAcentral
UACAGAGGGUGCGAGCGUUAAUCGGAAUUACUGGGCGUAAAGCGUGCGUAGACGGUUGCAUAAGUCGGAUGUGAAAUCCCCGGGCUCAACCUGGGAAUUGCAUUCGAGACUGUGUAGCUGGGGUGCGGAAGAGGGAAGCGGAAUUUCCGGUGUAGCGGUGAAAUGCGUAGAUGUCGGAAGGAACACCAGUGGCGAAAGCGGCUUCCUGGUCCAGCACCGACGUUUAGGCACGAAAGCGUGGGGAGCAAACAGG